Molecule: microRNA precursor, 70 nt
Filed under: Salmo salar (Atlantic salmon)
Lineage: Eukaryota; Metazoa; Chordata; Actinopteri; Salmoniformes; Salmonidae
Description: miR-430 microRNA precursor family
Rfam family: miR-430 microRNA precursor family
Source: Rfam by way of RNAcentral
AAAGUUACCUUAAAUGGAAGCAUACAUUUUUUUGCUGAAAGAAUAAGUGCUUCUCUUUGGGGUAGCCAUA